CGGGUAGCGGAACACGUACAGAACCUUCCUUUAAGCGGGGGAUAGCCCAUAGAAAUGUGGAUUAAUACCCCAUAGUAAUAUUAACUGGCAUCAGUUGGUAUUUAAAGAUUUAUCACUUAAAGAUGGCUGUGCGGCUGAUUAGGUAGUUGGUGUGGGUAACGGCCCACCAAGCCAUCGAUCAGUAACUGGUGUGAGAGCACGACCAGUCACACGGGCACUGAGACACGGGCCCG
RNAcentral lists this ribosomal RNA (233 nucleotides) under uncultured bacterium. RNAcentral's name for it is "partial 16S ribosomal RNA". It matches the Rfam family "Bacterial small subunit ribosomal RNA", at positions 103 to 334 of the family's 1533-position model. The record is from RNAcentral.